This 484-nucleotide ribosomal RNA is filed under the name uncultured bacterium. Its description in RNAcentral is "partial 16S ribosomal RNA". It matches the Rfam family "Bacterial small subunit ribosomal RNA", at positions 30 to 507 of the family's 1533-position model. The record is from RNAcentral.
AGUGAACGCUGGCGGCAGGCCUAACACAUGCAAGUCGAGCGGCAGCGGGUCCUUCGGGAUGCCGGCGAGCGGCGGACGGGUGAGGAAUGCAUCGGAAUCUGCCCUGUCGUGGGGGAUAACCUAGGGAAACUUAGGCUAAUACCGCAUACGACCCACGGGUGAAAGCGGGGGAUCGCAAGACCUCGCGCGAUAGGAUGAGCCGAUGUCCGAUUAGCUAGUUGGCGGGGUAAAGGCCCACCAAGGCGACGAUCGGUAGCUGGUCUGAGAGGAUGAUCAGCCACACUGGGACUGAGACACGGCCCAGACUCCUACGGGAGGCAGCAGUGGGGAAUAUUGGACAAUGGGCGCAAGCCUGAUCCAGCCAUGCCGCGUGGGUGAAGAAGGCCUUCGGGCUGUAAAGCCCUUUUGUCCGGGAAGAAAUCGUCUGGGCUAAUACCCCGGGCGGAUGACGGUACCGGAAGAAUAAGCACCGGCUAACUUCGUG